Molecule: ribosomal RNA, 465 nt
Filed under: uncultured bacterium
Lineage: Bacteria
Description: partial 16S ribosomal RNA
Rfam family: Bacterial small subunit ribosomal RNA
Source: RNAcentral
CCUACGGGAGACAGCAGUAGGGAAUCUUCCACAAUGGACGCAAGCCUGAUGGAGCAACGCCGCGUGAGUGAAGAAGGGCUUCGGCUUGUAAAGCCCUGUUGGUAGUGAAGAAAGAUAGAGGUAGUAACUGGCCUCUAUUUGACGGUAAUUACUUAGAAAGUCUCGGCUAACUACGUGCCAGCAGCUGCGGUAAUACGUAGGUGGCAAGCGUUGUCCGGAUUUAUUGGGCGUAAAGCGAGUGCAGGCGGCUCAAUAAGUCUGAUGUGAAAGCCUUCGGCUCAACCGGAGAAGUGCAUCAGAAACUGUUUAACUUGAGUGCAGAAGAGGAGAGUGGAACGCGAUGUGUAGCGGUGAAAUGCGUAGAUAUAUGGAAGAACACCAGUGGCGAAGGCGGCACUCUGGUCUGCAACUGACGCUGAGGCUCGAAAGCAUGGGUAGCGAACAGGAUUAGAUACCCUUGUAGUC